Molecule: long non-coding RNA, 387 nt
Organism: Mytilus trossulus (common blue mussel)
Lineage: Eukaryota; Metazoa; Mollusca; Bivalvia; Mytilida; Mytilidae
Exons: 4
Source: RefSeq, a predicted model, not a curated record
CGAAAUGUCGAAACAUGGAAAGUGGUUUUGAUUUCAUGGAUUACGUACAUUUAUGUACCUCAAAAAGGAAACGAAUGCAUUUUCUAUGGAAGUACAUGUACUUCAAAAAGAAGACGAAGCUAAGCAACAGAAUGCAAUUCUCUGAGGCAUUGAUUUACAUGAUGUGCAUAUAAAGAGCAGCUGGCAAUUAUUUUAUGAUGAGAGCUUGUUACCAAAUGAAAGGAAAGUGCAGUAUUAGAAUCACUGAGGUACAUGUUACGAUGUACAUAUGCAUGUAGGUGGAGAUCUAGAUGUCCUGUAAAAAAAAACUGGUAUUAAAGAACUGAAAAGGAAAGAAACAGAACCAAAGAACAUUCCUUUUAAAUUAAUACAAUAUUGAACUCAAGA